CCUACGGGAGGCAGCAGUGGGGAAUAUUGGACAAUGGGCGAAAGCCUGAUCCAGCCAUGCCGCGUGUGUGAAGAAGGCCUUCAGGUUGUAAAGCACUUUCAGUGGGGAAGAAAGCCUUGGGUCUAAUACCCUCGAGGAAGGACAUCACCCACAGAAGAAGCACCGGCUAACUCCGUGCCAGCAGCCGCGGUAAUACGGAGGGUGCGAGCGUUAAUCGGAAUUACUGGGCGUAAAGCGCGCGUAGGCGGUCUGAUAAGCCGGUUGUGAAAGCCCCGGGCUCAACCUGGGAACGGCAUCCGGAACUGUCAGGCUAGAGUGCAGGAGAGGAAGGUAGAAUUCCCGGUGUAGCGGUGAAAUGCGUAGAGAUCGGGAGGAAUACCAGUGGCGAAGGCGGCCUCCUGGACUGACACUGACGCUGAGGUGCGAAAGCGUGGGUAGCAAACAGGAUUAGAUACCCUAGUAGUC
RNAcentral lists this ribosomal RNA (465 nucleotides) under Vreelandella stevensii. RNAcentral describes it as "partial 16S ribosomal RNA". It matches the Rfam family "Bacterial small subunit ribosomal RNA", at positions 338 to 795 of the family's 1533-position model. Lineage: Bacteria; Pseudomonadati; Pseudomonadota; Gammaproteobacteria; Oceanospirillales; Halomonadaceae. The record is from RNAcentral.